Molecule: unclassified non-coding RNA, 309 nt
Filed under: Clitopilus sp.
Lineage: Eukaryota; Fungi; Basidiomycota; Agaricomycetes; Agaricales; Entolomataceae
Description: partial internal transcribed spacer region
Rfam family: Eukaryotic small subunit ribosomal RNA (bases 1-46)
Source: RNAcentral
AAGUCGUAACAAGGUUUCCGUAGGUGAACCUGCGGAAGGAUCAUUAAUGAAUAAACUUGGUCGAGCUGUUGCUGGUUCUUCGGGACAUGUGCACGCUUGCCACCAAUUUUAACCACCUGUGCACCCUUUGUAGACUGGAAACGUUUCUCGAGGCAACUCGGAUUGAGGACUGCUGUGCGAAAGCCGGCUGUUCUUGUGUUUCUCAGUCUAUGUUUUUCAUAUACUCCUAAUGUAUGUAUCAGAAUGUAUUGCUAGGCCUUAGCGCCUUUAAAUCAAAUACAACUUUCAACAACGGAUCUCUUGGCUCUC